Molecule: transfer RNA, 81 nt
Filed under: Schimmelmannia schousboei
Lineage: Eukaryota; Rhodophyta; Florideophyceae; Acrosymphytales; Schimmelmanniaceae
Description: tRNA-Leu
Rfam family: tRNA
About the family: Transfer RNA (tRNA) molecules are approximately 80 nucleotides in length. Their secondary structure includes four short double-helical elements and three loops (D, anti-codon, and T loops).
Source: RNAcentral
GCUCGCUUGGUGAAAAUGGUAAACACGAUGGAUUUAAAAUCCGUUCUCAUAGAGUUACUGGUUCAAGUCCAGUAGCGAGUA